UUCUCUCUCUUUUAGGGUUGCA
This 22-nucleotide non-coding RNA is filed under the name Arabidopsis thaliana (thale cress). Lineage: Eukaryota; Viridiplantae; Streptophyta; Magnoliopsida; Brassicales; Brassicaceae. The record is from RNAcentral.